UACGUAGGCAGCAAGCGUUGUUCGGAAUUACUGGGCGUAAAGAGUGUGUAGGCGGUGUUCUAAGUCUGGUGUGAAAUCUCCCGGCUCAACUGGGAGGGUGCGCUAGAAACUGGAAUGCUAGAGGAUGGGAGAGGUAAGCGGAAUUCCUGGUGUAGCGGCGAAAUGCGCAGAUAUCAGGAGGAACACCAAUGGCGAAGGCAGCUCGCUGGGACGUGACUGACGCUGAGACGCGAAAGCGUGGGGAGCAAACAGG
RNAcentral lists this ribosomal RNA (253 nucleotides) under uncultured bacterium. RNAcentral's name for it is "partial 16S ribosomal RNA". It matches the Rfam family "Bacterial small subunit ribosomal RNA", at positions 524 to 776 of the family's 1533-position model. The record is from RNAcentral.